GCCCCGAUGGUGAAACGGAUGAUCAUGCCUCGGUUCUAACGAGAUGUUCCGGGUUCAAGUCCUGGUCGGGGCA
RNAcentral lists this transfer RNA (73 nucleotides) under Rhodopirellula sp. RNAcentral describes it as "tRNA-Arg". It matches the Rfam family "tRNA". Rfam says of the family: Transfer RNA (tRNA) molecules are approximately 80 nucleotides in length. Their secondary structure includes four short double-helical elements and three loops (D, anti-codon, and T loops). Lineage: Bacteria; Pseudomonadati; Planctomycetota; Planctomycetia; Pirellulales; Pirellulaceae. The record is from RNAcentral.